ACGGAAGGUCCUAGCGUUGUUCGGAAUUACUGGGCGUAAAGCGCAUGUAGGCGGAACAAAAAGUUAGAAGUGAAAUCCCUGGGCUCAACCUAGGAAUGGCUUUUAAAACUUUUGUUCUGGAAUUCAGGAGAGGAAAAUGGAAUUUCCAGUGUAGAGGUGAAAUUCGUAGAUAUUGGAAGGAACACCAGUGGCGAAGGCGAUUUUCUGGACUGAUAUUGACGCUGAGAUGCGAAGGCAUGGGUAGCAAACGGG
This 252-nucleotide ribosomal RNA is filed under the name uncultured bacterium. RNAcentral's name for it is "partial 16S ribosomal RNA". It matches the Rfam family "Bacterial small subunit ribosomal RNA", at positions 525 to 776 of the family's 1533-position model. The record is from RNAcentral.